This 253-nucleotide ribosomal RNA is filed under the name uncultured bacterium. RNAcentral describes it as "partial 16S ribosomal RNA". It matches the Rfam family "Bacterial small subunit ribosomal RNA", at positions 524 to 776 of the family's 1533-position model. The record is from RNAcentral.
UACAGAGGGUGCGAGCGUUGUCCGGAAUUACUGGGCGUAAAGGGCGCGUAGGUGGCUUGAUAAGUAGGAGGUGAAAUCUCACGGCUCAACCGGGAGGCUGCCUUCUAGACUGUCAGGCUUGAGCAUGGUAGAGGCAGAUGGAAUUCCCGGUGUAGCGGCGGAAUGCGUAGAGAUCGGGAAGAACACCAGUGGCGAAGGCGGUCUGCUGGGCCAUAGCUGACACUGAGGCGCGACAGCGUGGGGAGCAAACAGG